This 254-nucleotide unclassified non-coding RNA is filed under the name Hevea brasiliensis (rubber tree). The record is from RNAcentral. Lineage: Eukaryota; Viridiplantae; Streptophyta; Magnoliopsida; Malpighiales; Euphorbiaceae.
GCCCCCUUCUUAGUCAAUGGGGCACAGCAGGUUCGGCAUCUACUACUACUACAAAAGAGAGAAUCCACUUCAGCUAACCACUCUUUGUUUUGUAAGGCAGAGCUAUUUUCUGAUCCGAUACGAGAAUGAAUUCAAUAAAGGGCUUCAGCCUAUUGCCAACAAACAUUACUUUCGUGGAGCCUAUUAUAUUAUAUAUUAUAUAUUAUGGAACGGCUUGUUUGGUUUGGUAAGAAUCUACUCUAUUCAAUUACCUG